This is a long non-coding RNA of Capsicum annuum, 695 nucleotides long. RefSeq lists it as uncharacterized. The record is from RefSeq and is a predicted model, not a curated record. Lineage: Eukaryota; Viridiplantae; Streptophyta; Magnoliopsida; Solanales; Solanaceae. The transcript is spliced from 3 exons.
UCUCUAUUCAUACUCUACCUUCCCUUCUACUUUCUUCAAAGUACUCUUCUGCAUUUCUCUUAAGAGAUCUAUAUAUAUCAAUUAUGAAAUCACAAAUGCUUGAUCCUUUCGGUUAUAAUUUUUUUAACUCUCUUUCAACUUAUAUCUGAUAUCAAAUAUUAAUCUUUAAUUUGCCCAAAGUCCAUUCUAAAGUUCCAUAUCUACAUCUUCCACCAGAGUUUCCUUAUGAGAACGCAUUAUAAGGUGUUAAAAGAAACCCUUGAGAAAAAAGUAUCCUCUUUGACUUUGAUAUAGACCACAUUAAGAUGUCAAUCAAAAGUGUUUCUACUACCACCCCUCAAAAUAAAACUUCAUUUAAAGAGGUUCAGAGAAAUUGAAGGCUAUGUCAAGGUAUGUCAGAGAAUCCAAUUGUCUGUCAUUGACAGAUGUUUGAUCGUGACUAUUCAGGAGAUUGAUCACAGCAUGAAAAUUGCAUCUUCUAUUGUAGAAUAAAUAGUAUAUGUAACAAUGUAAAUAGGUAAUAAUUAUGCUAUGUGAAUGUCAUGGGAGUAUCCAAUAGUAUGAUAUUUCCAUGAUUGUAUAAGACAUACAUUUGAGAUUUAUGCUAUAUGCACAACGGUAAUAAUGUUGUACAUUAAAAUGUAUUUAUUUUAGAUAAUGUGCAAAUUUAGUUUAUAUUGACGUUUAUAUGCAAA